Molecule: ribosomal RNA, 453 nt
Filed under: uncultured Leptolinea sp.
Lineage: Bacteria; Bacillati; Chloroflexota; Anaerolineae; Anaerolineales; Anaerolineaceae
Description: bacterial SSU rRNA
Rfam family: Bacterial small subunit ribosomal RNA
Source: RNAcentral
GGGCCCCGCACAAGCAGCGGAGCGUGUGGUUUAAUUCGAUGUUACACGAAGAACCUUACCAGGGUUUGACAUGCAAGUGGUAGGAAGCCGAAAGGUGACCGACCCUUCGGGGAGCUUGCACAGGUGCUGCAUGGCUGUCGUCAGCUCGUGUCGUGAGAUGUUCGGUUAAGUCCGCUAACGAGCGCAACCCUCGCUGUGUGUUAUAUGUGUCACACGGGACUGCCGGUCUUAAGCCGGAGGAAGGUGGGGAUGAUGUCAAGUCAGCAUGGCCUUUAUAUCCUGGGCUACACACACGCUACAAUGGCCAACACAAUAGGUUGCUAAGCCGCGAGGUGGCGCCAAUCCAUAAAGUUGGUCUCAGUUCAGAUUGUAGGCUGCAACCCGCCUGCAUGAAGAUGGAGUUGCUAGUAACCGCAGGUCAGCUAUACUGCGGUGAAUACGUUCCCGGGGCUU